Diceros bicornis minor is the source of this 368-nucleotide long non-coding RNA. RefSeq lists it as uncharacterized. The record is from RefSeq and is a predicted model, not a curated record. The transcript has 3 exons. Lineage: Eukaryota; Metazoa; Chordata; Mammalia; Perissodactyla; Rhinocerotidae.
CUGCCCCAUGCACUUGGAAGUCCUUUUCCUGCUUGUUUCAUAUCCAGAGGGAAAGAUUCACGAUGCAGCUUUUAAAGGUAUAAAGCUUUAGGAAUCUCUCAAAUCCCAUUGAUAAGAGACAGGAUGUCUCCUCUGGAUCAUCCACUGAUUGGAUUAUCCACUCCCUUCCUCCAUAAAAGGGGAAUCAGAGGCAGAAGUCCCUGCAUUUUCCAGCAAUCCACAGGCUGUCUGCACAUCAGGAGUGGGGUCAGCAGGACAACUCUGCAGCCAUGGAGGAACCUGCAUUGUUCUGUUUUCCAAGCCAGCCUAUUCUGGGGAAGCUCAAAAUAAAUAUGAUGCCGCAGACUUCAGAGAAGAAAAGACAGGCC